AACGAACGCUGGCGGCGUGCCUAACACAUGCAAGUCGAGCGAGAAAGUCUUCGGAUGGGUACAGCGGCGGACGGGUGAGUAAUACGUAGGUAAUCUACCUUUUUGUGGGGAAUAACUAAGGGAAACUUUAGCUAAUACCGCAUACGGUUACAGAUCUUAUGGUCUGUAAAGAAAGGGGGGUCGUAAGAUCUCUCGCAAAG
RNAcentral lists this ribosomal RNA (200 nucleotides) under uncultured bacterium. Its description in RNAcentral is "partial 16S ribosomal RNA". It matches the Rfam family "Bacterial small subunit ribosomal RNA", at positions 29 to 222 of the family's 1533-position model. The record is from RNAcentral.